ACCGUCUUCCUGGACCGCUCAGCGACGCUGUCUGCUACCGAUCGUUGUUAAGUGUGGGCUGACACGAAGCGAGCAAUAUUUGAUUAGCAGCUCCAACGACUAACCGUGUUUGACAAGCGGACGCCGCAUUGCAUAAUAUCCAAUGUUUCCCUGUGCCCGACGAGAGCUGAUAUUCGACUGGGGUGUAUAUUUUUGAUAGCCAUGACAAUGCGCUGCAGGAAACAUUGUGUUUUAACAGUUCUAAUCCCGCUUUUCAUUUGCCUAUUGAUUGGACAAACUAUUCUGUCAGUGACCCGUCAAAUUCGAUACAGCCGAUACAUGGCACUAGACAUAGACUUUUCCUACUUAAUGGAAUUGCGGGAACGGAUAAAUCCAGCACCAUUUGAAACGUUUGAAUUUGAGGAAUUGCUACACGAUUACAAGAAGAAAAAAUAAAAGAUCUACAGCAAGCGGGGCUAUGGAGAACAAAUCCAGAAUUAAAUU
This is a long non-coding RNA of Haliotis rubra (blacklip abalone), 483 nucleotides long. RefSeq lists it as uncharacterized. The record is from RefSeq and is a predicted model, not a curated record. The transcript is spliced from 5 exons. NCBI's taxonomy places the organism in Eukaryota, Metazoa, Mollusca, Gastropoda, Lepetellida, Haliotidae.